GAGCUAGAAAAUUUGGAGGAGUUGCCCCUACAGCUCAACCAAUUAUCCCGACUUAAGAAACUGACGAUUCAUGAUUGUCGGUCUCUCUGCCCCUCGCACAUGAGUAGACUGCCUGCCUCACUUAAAUCACUGGAGUACAUGGGUUGCAAAUUGGAAUUGGAGGGUGGUGGGGCCUUGGAGUACUUGGUAUUAGGCGGUUGUGACCUCAAAGUCAAAGCCGAGUGGCUUGCCUCGUUCCCUAUGCUAAAACGUCUUGAAAUUAGGUACUGCAGGAGUGUUGAGAAUCAGAGUGGUAUAACUACUACUACUACUACUAGUGUGAUGACGUCACUUCAAUCCUUAGACGUCUACGGCUACGAUGAUCUAUUAAUGUCUUUUUCAGAGGGAGGAUUGGCAGCCCCCAAUCUAACGACGAUUAGCAUUAGGGAUGGCAACGGGGCGGGGUUGGGGCGGGGGACCCCUCCCCCGUCCCCCGCCCCGUUGCCUAUUAGUUCCCCCCGU
Molecule: long non-coding RNA, 501 nt
Filed under: Coffea arabica (coffee)
Lineage: Eukaryota; Viridiplantae; Streptophyta; Magnoliopsida; Gentianales; Rubiaceae
Description: long non-coding RNA (CARA_LNC001167)
Source: RNAcentral